GGACCCGCACAAGUAGUGGAGCAUGUGGUUUAAUUCGAAGAUACGCGCAGAACCUUACCAACACUUGACAUGUUCGUCGCGACUUUAAGAGAUUAAAGUUUUCGGUUCGGCCGGACGAAACACAGGUGCUGCAUGGCUGUCGUCAGCUCGUGUCGUGAGAUGUUGGGUUAAGUCCCGCAACGAGCGCAACCCUCACUUUUAGUUGCCAUCAUUAAGUUGGGCACUCUGAAAGAACUGCCAGUGAUAAGCUGGAGGAAGGUGGGGAUGACGUCAAGUCCUCAUGGCCCUUACGUGUUGGGCUACACACGUGCUACAAUGGUAUAUACAAUAGGAAGCAAGACGGCAACGUCAAGCAAAUCCUCAAAAGAUACCUCAGUUCGGAUUGCACUCUGCAACUCGAGUGCAUGAAGCUGGAAUUACUAGUAAUCG
Molecule: ribosomal RNA, 429 nt
Filed under: uncultured bacterium
Lineage: Bacteria
Description: bacterial SSU rRNA
Rfam family: Bacterial small subunit ribosomal RNA
Source: RNAcentral